UGACUGGCUGCUGCUGUAUCAUUCAAGGCAAAAUCAUUACUUCAGUAACAUCUAUACAGUCAGUUUGGGACAUCUUCCAGAUGAGGUAGGCCCCUGCCCUGCAUCAAGCUCUUCAGCUCAGCUUUCAAAUCAAGAAGAAAAUGACUUCUCUUCAGCUGGACACCAGAAUGACAGCAGAAUUCACCUGACAUAGGAGGACACAUGAUAACACUAUUGAAAUUAGUGGCAGAACUCCACAUCUGGGAACCAUAGUUAAGUUUUAGAGAAGUGACUUCUAUGUUACUAGUCCCACCGUGACUCCCACUGGUUUUGAAUCGAGCACGUAUACUGCAAGUGAACUGAGUGAGUUAACCUACACUGGGGCUGAUAAUUUUGCCUGGUAAGCACAACUGAAAAACGAAUAAACAAUCAUAAAAAAUACA
RNAcentral lists this long non-coding RNA (422 nucleotides) under Numida meleagris (helmeted guineafowl). Its description in RNAcentral is "lncRNA (ENSNMEG00000007823.1)". The record is from RNAcentral. Lineage: Eukaryota; Metazoa; Chordata; Aves; Galliformes; Numididae.